RNAcentral lists this ribosomal RNA (618 nucleotides) under uncultured bacterium. Its description in RNAcentral is "bacterial SSU rRNA". It matches the Rfam family "Bacterial small subunit ribosomal RNA", at positions 67 to 680 of the family's 1533-position model. The record is from RNAcentral.
CGGUAGCAGGAAGUGCUUGCACUUUGCUGACGAGUGGCGGACGGGUGAGUAAUACUUAGGAACAUGCCUUUGUGUGGGGGAUAACCAUUGGAAACGAUGGCUAAUACCGCAUAAUGUCUUUGGACCAAAGAGGGCUUUCGGGCUCUCGCGCAAAGAGUGGCCUAAGUGAGAUUAGCUUGUUGGUGAGGUAAAGGCUCACCAAGGCGACGAUCUCUAGCUGUUCUGAGAGGAAGAUCAGCCACACUGGGACUGAGACACGGCCCAGACUCCUACGGGAGGCAGCAGUGGGGAAUAUUGCACAAUGGGGGCAACCCUGAUGCAGCCAUGCCGCGUGUGUGAAGAAGGCCUUCGGGUUGUAAAGCACUUUCAGUUGUGAGGAAAGGUUGGUGGUUAAUACCCAUCAGCUGUGACGUUAGCAACAGAAGAAGCACCGGCUAACUCCGUGCCAGCAGCCGCGGUAAUACGGAGGGUGCGAGCGUUAAUCGGAAUUACUGGGCGUAAAGCGCACGCAGGCGGUUAUAUAAGCUAGAUGUGAAAGCCCCGGGCUCAACCUGGGAAUAGCAUUUAGAACUGUGUGACUAGAGUCUUGGAGAGGGGAGUGGAAUUCCAGGUGUAGCG